RNAcentral lists this ribosomal RNA (492 nucleotides) under uncultured bacterium. RNAcentral describes it as "partial 16S ribosomal RNA". It matches the Rfam family "Bacterial small subunit ribosomal RNA", at positions 29 to 507 of the family's 1533-position model. The record is from RNAcentral.
AGUGAACGCUGGCGGUAGGCCUAACACAUGCAAGUCGAACGGCAGCACAGUAAGAGCUUGCUCUUACGGGUGGCGAGUGGCGGACGGGUGAGGAAUAAAUCGGAAUCUACUUUUUCGUGGGGGAUAACGUAGGGAAACUUACGCUAAUACUGCAUACGACCUACGGGUGAAAGCAGGGGAUCUUCGGACCUUGCGCGAUUGAAUGAGCCGAUGUCGGAUUAGCUAGUUGGCGGGGUAAAGGCCCACCAAGGCGACGAUCCGUAGCUGGUCUGAGAGGAUGAUCAGCCACACUGGAACUGAGACACGGUCCAGACUCCUACGGGAGGCAGCAGUGGGGAAUAUUGGACAAUGGGCGCAAGCCUGAUCCAGCCAUACCGCGUGGGUGAAGAAGGCCUUCGGGUUGUAAAGCCCUUUUGUUGGGAAAGAAAAGCAGCAGGUUAAUACCCCGCUGUUCUGACGGUACCCAAAGAAUAAGCACCGGCUAACUUCGUG